RNAcentral lists this unclassified non-coding RNA (335 nucleotides) under fungal sp. RNAcentral's name for it is "partial internal transcribed spacer region". The stretch from base 1 to 46 matches the Rfam family "Eukaryotic small subunit ribosomal RNA", at positions 1786 to 1831 of the family's 1831-position model. Lineage: Eukaryota; Fungi. The record is from RNAcentral.
AAGUCGUAACAAGGUAACCGUAGGUGAACCUGCGGUUGGAUUAUCACAAUACUUGUUAACCAACAUCAACCAAAUGCGAACCGUAACGUCCCUACUCACUCGCAAGAGUGCGGUAGACAAUACCCCCAAUCUAGUAGUCACUAGGCGUCUUCGACGUCGCACUUCACUGGGCGACUGAGCUGACGUUCUGGUGGCGAACUAUUCACCACUUUUAACCCUAUAACUAAUAACUUGUCUAAUCUUCAUAACCUUAUGCGACUCGCUCUUCAUUGAGUGUGGUCAACUAAGAUUUACGAAAUAUUGAACAACUCUUAGCAAUGGAUAUCUUGGGUCAU